GAAACUAUAGUCAACAAAAUGACAGUUGGUUUGCAUCCAAAAAGUGCUCAACUUUUUUCC
Molecule: transfer RNA, 60 nt
Filed under: Lysmata vittata
Lineage: Eukaryota; Metazoa; Arthropoda; Malacostraca; Decapoda; Hippolytidae
Description: tRNA-Ala
Source: RNAcentral